GGUUGUGGUUCAGCGGUAGAGCGCCCGCUUAGCACGUGAAAGGGCCUGGGUUCGAUCCUCAGCACCA
Molecule: transfer RNA, 67 nt
Filed under: Marmota monax (woodchuck)
Lineage: Eukaryota; Metazoa; Chordata; Mammalia; Rodentia; Sciuridae
Description: tRNA.Ala
Source: RNAcentral